GAUCCCGCUUCUCUGCCUACCUGUCUCAACAAGCUUGAAGAUUUUCAAGGCAAAGGCCAGCAGCUUAGAAGAUCUUCAAAGCAAAGGCAAAAUGUUUUGUACAGUGAAAAGAUUACUGAUGGUGAUUCUUUUAGCUCCCCAAAGAGUUCAAAAGGGAGCAAACCAGACAGAUCCAGUGAAGAGGAGCUGCAAGAAGCAGGUGUGCGUGGUGGGCUAUCCAAAGAUGGCACAUCAACUGAAAGGGAGUUGAAACAGAAAGCCAGUUCUAUUGAAGAGAGCAUGCCAAAUAAGAAAAGCAAUACCAGUGAACAGAAAGCAGAACGAAAGGAAGCAGAUGUAUCAGAUUAUGAUGACGGGAGCACGCUGAAUUCAGAGAUCAUUGAGUAUCCUGAUCCAGAUUUCAGUGAUUUUGAUAAAGUUAGGGAAGAAAACUGUUUUGCUGUGAAUCAAACUUGGGCUAUUUAUGAUCCAUGUGAUGGCAUGCCAAGAUUCUACGCUCGGAUCAAGAAAGUUUUCUCACCCCAUUUUAGGUUACAGAUUACUUGGCUUGAGCCUAAUCCAGAUGAUGAAAGUGAGAAAGCCUGGCGUGAUGUUGAACUGCCUAUUGCUUGUGGUAAGUUCACCAAUGGGAAGAUUGAAGAAACUGAAGAUCGUCUAAUGUUUUCUCAUCAGAUAUGUUGGAUGAACGGUGGUGGUAGACGCUCUUUCCUGACAUAUCCUAAAGGGGGGGAAACUUGGGCCAUCUUUAGUGAUUGGGAUAUUAAGUGGGGUCGUGACCCAGAAAAGCAUGGACCACCAUACCAGUAUGAAUUUGUGGAGGUGCUGACAGAUUUUGAUGAGAAUGUUGGUAUUGGGGUUGCCUAUUUGAGCAAAGUCAAUGGGUUUGUCAGCCUGUUUAAGCAAACUGCACAUCAUGGGGUUAUCCCACCAGCUCAUAUGUAUAGAUUUUCACAUCAAAUUCCCUCGUAUAGAAUGACUGGCAAGGAGAGGGAAGAUGUUCCUGUUGGAUCUUUUGAGUUUGAUCCCGCUUCUCUGCCUACGAGUCUCAACAAGCUUGAAGAAUUAUCAGAUUAGUGGCUGUUGGAAUCUCGAUCCCUUGGCGAUUCCUGGUGCUACUCCUGGUGGUACUAUUAUUUUAGAUUAAAUAGGAGCAGUAUGUUGUAUACCCGUCCUUUUCCCCUCUCACCUUAAUGUAAGCAGGAUCUUUUGCUAGAAUGCCACAUGUGAAAAGAAUCAAAUGAACCUGAGUAGAAACUUUAACAUUUUACUUUGUACGCAUGGAUGGCCUUGAUUGUUAUUAUUCUUUUAUUUGGGCCAGUUUUUAUGUAACCUGCCGGAUGAUGAAAUUUUUCUGGAACUUUUGUAGACUCCUCUUUGGUUAAUUUUUAGUAUUCACAGUGCUUAUAUUGCACAUUUUGUGAUCUAUUUUAGUUUAUCUUUC
RNAcentral lists this long non-coding RNA (1441 nucleotides) under Citrus sinensis (sweet orange). Its description in RNAcentral is "long non-coding RNA (CSIN_LNC001325)". Lineage: Eukaryota; Viridiplantae; Streptophyta; Magnoliopsida; Sapindales; Rutaceae. The record is from RNAcentral.